AAGUGGGCCUAAAAGCAGCCACCUUACAAAAAGCGUUAAAGCUUCAUUGGUUAAAUUAAAAAUUUCAUUAAAUUAAUUACAACCCCUAAUCUGUACUGAAUGAUCUCAUAAUAUUAUGAGAGCCUAUAUGUUAGAACUAGUAACAAGAAGAAGUCCUUCUCCAAAAUGUAAGCAUGAGCCAAAAUGAACAAUUCAUUGGCAAUUAAAGUUAAAUAUUUAUUGUAGUAACCCAACAAGAAAAACCUACUAAUUAUUAGCGUCAACCUUACACUAGUACAUUUCUGGAAAGAUUAAAAGAAUGGGAAGGAACUCGGCAAAUAAUUAACCCCGCCUGUUUACCAAAAACAUCGCCUCCUGAUAUUUUAUAGGAGGUCCAGCCUGCCCAGUGACAAAGUUAAACGGCCGCGGUACCCUAACCGUGCAAAGGUAGCGCAAUCACUUGUUCUUUAAAUGAGGACUAGUAUGAACGGCAUCACGAGGGUUAUGCUGUCUCCCCACUCUAUUCAGUGAAACUGAUUUUCCCGUGAAGAAGCGGGAAUAAAAAUAUAAGACGAGAAGACCCCAUGGAGCUUUAAACUCAGUAUCAACUGCCUAACUAAAAAACCUUAUAUUUUGCAGCCAUGCUUACUAGAUUUCGGUUGGGGUGACCACGGAGUAAAACUAAACCUCCAUGAUGAAAGGAACUAAUAACCUAACCUAUGAGCUACAGCUCUAAGUAUCAACAAAUUGACUAAAUUGACCCAAUUACUUGAUCAACAAACCAAGUUACCCUGGGGAUAACAGCGCAAUCCAUUUCAAGAGCUCAUAUCGACAAAUGGGUUUACGACCUCGAUGUUGGAUCAGGGUAUCCCAGUGGCGCAGCUGCUACUAACGGUUC
This 877-nucleotide ribosomal RNA is filed under the name Microhyla sp. 3 VG-2020. RNAcentral's name for it is "partial large subunit ribosomal RNA". It matches the Rfam family "Bacterial large subunit ribosomal RNA", at positions 1098 to 2574 of the family's 2925-position model. Lineage: Eukaryota; Metazoa; Chordata; Amphibia; Anura; Microhylidae. The record is from RNAcentral.